CGCUGGCGGCGUGCCUAAUACAUGCAAGUCGAGCGAACGGACGAGAAGCUUGCUUCUCUGAUGUUAGCGGCGGACGGGUGAGUAACACGUGGAUAACCUACCUAUAAGACUGGGAUAACUUCGGGAAACCGGAGCUAAUACCGGAUAAUAUUUUGAACCGCAUGGUUCAAAAGUGAAAGACGGUCUUGCUGUCACUUAUAGAUGGAUCCGCGCUGCAUUAGCUAGUUGGUAAGGUAACGGCUUACCAAGGCAACGAUGCAUAGCCGACCUGAGAGGGUGAUCGGCCACACUGGAACUGAGACACGGUCCAGACUCCUACGGGAGGCAGCAGUAGGGAAUCUUCCGCAAUGGGCGAAAGCCUGACGGAGCAACGCCGCGUGAGUGAUGAAGGUCUUCGGAUCGUAAAACUCUGUUAUUAGGGAAGAACAUAUGUGUAAGUAACUGUGCACAUCUUGACGGUACCUAAUCAGAAAGCCACGGCUAACUACGUGCCAGCAGCCGCGGUAAUACGUAGGUGGCAAGCGUUAUCCGGAAUUAUUGGGCGUAAAGCGCGCGUAGGCGGUUUUUUAAGUCUGAUGUGAAAGCCCACGGCUCAACCGUGGAGGGUCAUUGGAAACUGGAAAACUUGAGUGCAGAAGAGGAAAGUGGAAUUCCAUGUGUAGCGGUGAAAUGCGCAGAGAUAUGGAGGAACACCAGUGGCGAAGGCGACUUUCUGGUCUGUAACUGACGCUGAUGUGCGAAAGCGUGGGGAUCAAACAGGAUUAGAUACCCUGGUAGUCCACGCCGUAAACGAUGAGUGCUAAGUGUUAGGGGGUUUCCGCCCCUUAGUGCUGCAGCUAACGCAUUAAGCACUCCGCCUGGGGAGUACGACCGCAAGGUUGAAACUCAAAGGAAUUGACGGGGACCCGCACAAGCGGUGGAGCAUGUGGUUUAAUUCGAAGCAACGCGAAGAACCUUACCAAAUCUUGACAUCCUUUGACAACUCUAGAGAUAGAGCCUUCCCCUUCGGGGGACAAAGUGACAGGUGGUGCAUGGUUGUCGUCAGCUCGUGUCGUGAGAUGUUGGGUUAAGUCCCGCAACGAGCGCAACCCUUAAGCUUAGUUGCCAUCAUUAAGUUGGGCACUCUAAGUUGACUGCCGGUGACAAACCGGAGGAAGGUGGGGAUGACGUCAAAUCAUCAUGCCCCUUAUGAUUUGGGCUACACACGUGCUACAAUGGACAAUACAAAGGGCAGCGAAACCGCGAGGUCAAGCAAAUCCCAUAAAGUUGUUCUCAGUUCGGAUUGUAGUCUGCAACUCGACUACAUGAAGCUGGAAUCGCUAGUAAUCGUAGAUCAGCAUGCUACGGUGAAUACGUUCCC
Molecule: ribosomal RNA, 1360 nt
Filed under: Staphylococcus aureus
Lineage: Bacteria; Bacillati; Bacillota; Bacilli; Caryophanales; Staphylococcaceae
Description: bacterial SSU rRNA
Rfam family: Bacterial small subunit ribosomal RNA
Source: RNAcentral